CCUACGGGAGGCAGCAGUGGGGAAUAUUUGCACAAUGGGGGGAAACCCUGAUGCAGCGACGCCGCGUGGAGGAAGAAGGUCUUCGGAUUGUAAACUCCUGUUGUUGAGGAAGAUAAUGACGGUACUCAACAAGGAAGUGACGGCUAACUACGUGCCAGCA
Molecule: ribosomal RNA, 160 nt
Filed under: uncultured bacterium
Lineage: Bacteria
Description: partial 16S ribosomal RNA
Rfam family: Bacterial small subunit ribosomal RNA
Source: RNAcentral